CCUACGGGUGGCUGCAGUGAGGAAUAUUGGUCAAUGGCCGAGAGUCUGAACCAGCCAAGUCGCGUGAGGGAAGACGGCCCUACGGGUUGUAAACUGCUUUUGUACGGGGGCAAAUCCAGGCACGUGUGACUCAUUGAGAGUAUCGGACGAAUAAGGAUCGGCUAACUCCGUGCCAGCAGCCGCGGUAAUACGGAGGAUGCGAGCGUUAUCCGGAUUUAUUGGGUUUAAAGGGUGCGCAGGCGGAUGUAUAAGUUAGCGGUUAAAUUUGGGGGCUCAACCCCGGAAUUGCCUUUAAUACUGCAGGCCUAGAGUGUACUAGCGGUAUGCGGAAUGUAUGGUGUAGCGGUGAAAUGCAUAGAGAUCACGCAGAACACCGAUUGCGAAGGCAGCAUACC
This 395-nucleotide ribosomal RNA is filed under the name uncultured bacterium. RNAcentral's name for it is "partial 16S ribosomal RNA". It matches the Rfam family "Bacterial small subunit ribosomal RNA", at positions 338 to 730 of the family's 1533-position model. The record is from RNAcentral.